Molecule: ribosomal RNA, 497 nt
Filed under: uncultured bacterium
Lineage: Bacteria
Description: partial 16S ribosomal RNA
Rfam family: Bacterial small subunit ribosomal RNA
Source: RNAcentral
GACGAACGCUGGCGGCGUGCCUAAUACAUGCAAGUAGAACGCUGAAGCGAGGAGCUUGCUCUUCUUGGAUGAGUUGCGAACGGGUGAGUAACGCGUAGGUAACCUGCCUGGUAGCGGGGGAUAACUAUUGGAAACGAUAGCUAAUACCGCAUAAAAUUGAUUAUUGCAUGAUAAUUAAUUGAAAGAUGCAACUGCAUCACUACCAGAUGGACCUGCGUUGUAUUAGCUAGUUGGUGAGGUAACGGCUCACCAAGGCGACGAUACAUAGCCGACCUGAGAGGGUGAUCGGCCACACUGGGACUGAGACACGGCCCAGACUCCUACGGGAGGCAGCAGUAGGGAAUCUUCGGCAAUAGGGGGAACCCUGACCGAGCAACGCCGCGUGAGUGAAGAAGGUUUUCGGAUCGUAAAGCUCGGUUGUAAGAGAAGAACGGGUGUGAGAGUGGAAAGUUCACACUGUGACGGUAUCUUACCAGAAAGGGACGGCUAACUACGUG